GGAGAAGAAUCUGGCUGGAGUCGCAGCUUUCAUUCAAAGGGAAUAAUCCCACUCCUCUCCACAUUUGCCACGUAUGUUUUCUUAAAAAGAUUCUUUCAAGUCUGGCAGCUGAGACUCACAUUUCCGAUCCGGACACCCGUUUCAUAACCAGCUCAGCUGCUGACCCAGUUAAAUAAUAAUGAGCGAUUUUCAUAAAUCUAAACGUUCCCUCAGAAGAACCCAGUGGAAGAGGCUGCAGGGUGGUGCUUGGGGGGCCUGGCUGGAUGUGGGAGUGACGGGACAAAGUUGGAGUGCUCGUCUAUGGAAUCUGUGCCCUUUGCGUGGAAAACAAUACCUCCAGAUGCACCUGCAUGCUGGUGUUGUGACCCAAACACCAUCUCAUGAUGAAGUCUUCCUGAGCCCUCAGCGCUUUUCGGUCCUCGGGGCCUCAGAAUGGGGGCAUCCGCUCUCCUCUCGCCAAGGUGCCCACCUGAGGGACUCACUCGAGGACGGAGCACCAGCCCCAGCUCUCUUCCAUGGGCCGUCUGUCCUGCUCUGGGGCUGAGGCCACCCUGAGAAGGAGCACCAUUGCCGAAGAGGUCCGCAUAUUGAUGAACAGCAGAAGAGGACAGGUGGCCAGUUAUUUUUGCCAUCAGAAUAGAGGACUUUAUGUCCAAAAGGAUUGGAAAACCUCGGGUGGAAAACCUGUGUGGACCAUUUCCAAUUUUCUGCAGAGGCACGUGUGGUCAGAUCCUGUCGAUCUUGUCUCUGUUAAGGGGCCUUGGCCCCUCCCUGUGAUGGGUGAGGAACUCGGCUUAUUCCUGGGGACAGCAGCCUGCCACCAGAGAGGCCAUAGGCUGGAGCAAGGGCUGACUCACAGGGCAGCGAGGAAACGGCCUGGAUCUUUGACCGGGGCCGCCCCUCCUAAGCAAUCGCGUUAUGGAUGGGUCCCCAACUCAUACAAAAGUAUCAUAAAACAUUGGGGAGGCUUGUAACACUGCCCUUUAAAGAAAGGAGAGAGCCGACCAUGGAGGUGCCCCUGCAGCAGGUUUUACAGUAACAUGGAUGCUAUUUUGACGGCCAAGUUUUUGAUGAACAAAGCAGUAAAACCACAAGAAGUACUUACAUUUUCAUCAUGCAAGAGGAAAGAAAAAUUUGGAUCUCUGAGGUUUCUAAUAAACCAGAAAAAAAACCCGGUUGUGUUAAAUGC
RNAcentral lists this long non-coding RNA (1189 nucleotides) under Bos indicus x Bos taurus (hybrid cattle). RNAcentral describes it as "lncRNA (ENSBIXG00000028327.1)". The record is from RNAcentral. Lineage: Eukaryota; Metazoa; Chordata; Mammalia; Artiodactyla; Bovidae.